RNAcentral lists this ribosomal RNA (253 nucleotides) under uncultured bacterium. RNAcentral's name for it is "partial 16S ribosomal RNA". It matches the Rfam family "Bacterial small subunit ribosomal RNA", at positions 524 to 776 of the family's 1533-position model. The record is from RNAcentral.
UACGGAGGGAGCUAGCGUUGUUCGGAAUUACUGGGCGUAAAGCGCACGUAGGCGGCUUUGUAAGUUAGAGGUGAAAGCCUGGGGCUCAACUCCAGAACUGCCUUUAAAACUGCAUCGCUUGAAUCCAGGAGAGGUGAGUGGAAUUCCGAGUGUAGAGGUGAAAUUCGUAGAUAUUCGGAAGAACACCAGUGGCGAAGGCGGCUCACCGGACUGGUAUUGACGCUGAGGUGCGAAAGCGUGGGGAGCAAACAGG